GAUGAAGAACGCAGCGAAAUGCGAUAAGUAAUGCGAAUUGCAGAAUCCGUGAGUCAUCGAAUCUUUGAACGCACAUUGCGCCCCUUGGUUAUUCCGAAGGGCAUGCCUGUUCGAGCGUCAUUAUCACCCCUCAAGCCCCGGCUUGGUGUUGGACGGUUUUGGUGGGGACGUGCAGCCUCUCACCCCUCCUAAAGACAAUGACGGCGGCGUCGUUGGGACCCCCGGUACACUGAGCUUCUUAACUGAGCACGUACUGGACGCGGGUACGCGACGCACGGUCUGCCUCCCCUUUAAGGGAGAACUUUUUCUUAAGGUUGACCUCGGAUCAGGUAGGAAUACCCGCUGAACUUAAGCAUAUCAAUAAGCGGAGGA
Molecule: unclassified non-coding RNA, 372 nt
Filed under: soil metagenome
Description: partial contains 5.8S ribosomal RNA, internal transcribed spacer 2, and large subunit ribosomal RNA
Rfam family: 5.8S ribosomal RNA (bases 1-120)
Source: RNAcentral